RNAcentral lists this long non-coding RNA (814 nucleotides) under Monodelphis domestica (gray short-tailed opossum). RNAcentral describes it as "lncRNA (ENSMODG00000033490.2)". The record is from RNAcentral. Lineage: Eukaryota; Metazoa; Chordata; Mammalia; Didelphimorphia; Didelphidae.
UGCCUUUUCUCAAGUGCGAUGGCUGUUAUCCUGAAUAUACAUCUCACUGCAGUGCCCAUACUUAAAGAAGAACAAUCUAAAGUCUUAGGCAAAUGUGCAGUCUGAGACAGAAGUACCCAGGUGACCAAUGUCAGCAGAAAAAAGUCAUCAAAGAAGUCCCACUAGUAGCAAUAGCUUACAAGUUUGAUUUAAAAAGAAAAAUCUGCAGCAGCUAGGAGACCUGUCAGACUUGACCCAAGUGAGGAAGAAAGUCAUUUAACCAUCCCCAAUGCCUUUUUUGAAGAACAGAGAGCACGAGGAAGCCGAAAAUUAAAGGACAUAAAAGGACACUAUCAGAAUCAUAAAGUGGAGGAAUUCCAUUGGGACUGGAACAUCCUCCAGAAAUUCAUGCAGAAUGAGAGGAGUAGAACCAGGAGAACAUUGUACACAGAGACUGAUACACUGUGGUACAAUCGAAUGUAAUGGACUCGUUCAUUAGUGGUAAUGCAGUGAUCCUGAACAACCCAGAGGGAUCUAUGAGAAUGAACACUAUCCACAUUCAGAAGGAUAAUUGUGUGAGUAGAAACACUUGAUUGCAUGGGUUGAGGGGGAUAUUAUUGGGGAUCUAGACUCUAAGUGAACAUCCUAAUGCAAACACCAACAACAUGGAAAUAGGUUCUAAUUAAGGAAACAUGUAAUACCCAGUGAAAUUGCACAUAGGCUGUGGUAAGGGUGGGGUGAGGGGAGAGAGGGAAAGAAUAUGAUUCUUGUAACCAAGGAAUAAUGUUCUAAAUUGACUAAUAAAAAAGAAGAAGAAGAAAAAAAGAAUGUUCUC